Molecule: unclassified non-coding RNA, 346 nt
Filed under: Hevea brasiliensis (rubber tree)
Lineage: Eukaryota; Viridiplantae; Streptophyta; Magnoliopsida; Malpighiales; Euphorbiaceae
Source: RNAcentral
ACUUGCUUAGUUUCAGAAAAUCAGGUUCACUUACCAUAGCUUGGUUCACAUCAUUUAAGCUUCCAUUUGCCAGUGAUGACUGUAUACUCUUCUUUACUGGAUUUGACAACGGAGCAGGACCAUCUCUGGAUGCCUUCUUCUUUCCAGUAUUGGGCAUGUCAUGCAAAACAAAGUCUUGGUGGUUCUGAUCAAGCUGAUCAGAUUUAACUUCACCAGGAUUGAUCUGCAGAUUAUUUUGACUCACUGGCGCAGGGAUUUGGUUCAAUAAUGUAACAGCUUUUGUUGUUUCUUCCUCAGUAAAGCUACAUCGGUUCAUACCAGGCAGCCAAUUAAGCAUGCUACACAG